AUUGAACGCUGGCGGAAUGCUUUACACAUGCAAGUCGAACGGCAGCACGGACUUCGGUCUGGUGGCGAGUGGCGAACGGGUGAGUAAUGUAUCAGAACGUGCCCAGUCGUGGGGGAUAACGUAGUGAAAAUUACGCUAAUACCGCAUACGAUCUAUGGAUGAAAGCGGGGGAUCGCAAGACCUCGCGCGAUUGGGGCGGCCGAUAUCAGAUUAGGUAGUUGGUGGGGUAAAGGCCCACCAAGCCAACGAUCUGUAGCUGGUCUGAGAGGACGAGCAGCCACACUGGAACUGAGACACGGUCCAGACUCCUACGGGAGGCAGCAGUGGGGAAUUUUGGACAAUGGGCGAAAACCUGAUCCAGCCAUUCCGCGUGCGGGAUGAAGGCCCUCGGGUUGUAAACUGCUUUUGUACAGAACGAAAAGGUUUCUACUAAUACUAGGAGCUCAUGACGGUACUGUAAGAAUAAGCACCGGCUAACUACGUGCCAGCCGCCGCCGUAA
This 500-nucleotide ribosomal RNA is filed under the name uncultured bacterium. RNAcentral describes it as "partial 16S ribosomal RNA". It matches the Rfam family "Bacterial small subunit ribosomal RNA", at positions 30 to 523 of the family's 1533-position model. The record is from RNAcentral.